Molecule: ribosomal RNA, 505 nt
Filed under: uncultured bacterium
Lineage: Bacteria
Description: partial 16S ribosomal RNA
Rfam family: Bacterial small subunit ribosomal RNA
Source: RNAcentral
GACGAACGCUGGCGGCGUGCCUAAUACAUGCAAGUAGAACGCACAGUUUAUACCGUAGCUUGCUACACCAUAGACUGUGAGUUGCGAACGGGUGAGUAACGCGUAGGUAACCUGCCUGGUAGCGGGGGAUAACUAUUGGAAACGAUAGCUAAUACCGCAUAAUAUUGAUUAUUGCAUGAUAAUUAAUUGAAAGGUGCAAUUGCACCACUACCAGAUGGACCUGCGUUGUAUUAGCUAGUAGGUGAGGUAACGGCUCACCUAGGCGACGAUACAUAGCCGACCUGAGAGGGUGAUCGGCCACACUGGGACUGAGACACGGCCCAGACUCCUACGGGAGGCAGCAGUAGGGAAUCUUCGGCAAUGGACGAAAGUCUGACCGAGCAACGCCGCGUGAGUGAAGAAGGUUGUCGGAUCGUAAAGCUCUGUUGUAAGAGAAGAACGGGUGUGAGAGUGGAAAGUUCACACUGUGACGGUAUCUUACCAGAAAGGGACGGCUAACUACGUG